CAGCAGGGAUAAAGAACUCAUCUGGAAACUAGAAAGACUUGAUUCAAGGCUUCCCUCUAACACAGACUAGCUGGGCCACCAUGGGCAAGUCACUUGACAUCAUGGUUCUUUAGGCAACUAAGACUUUACAAAUUGCAGAGAAGAUGCUGACCUGUAUUAAUAGGGAGUUUUCUCUUCUAGGAGUUCUUUCUCAAUGAAAUUACAGCUGUUCAGUUGAAAAUGUCUGGCAUCUGGAAAAGAGAAUUGUUACUGGAUACCUCCAUCUUGAUAACCUUAAAUAUUCACUUAUAAGAGUGGUGGCACAUCACACAACUGUGUAGCAGAACCAAAUCCAAUCUGGCCUCAGACAUCAACUCUGCAGGUCUGGAAGAAGCUGGGCAGCUACUAACUCUCUAGCAAUAGGAUGUGGGCCCUGUUACUCCAUAUCGCUCCUGCCGGGCAAUUUGUGCAACAGCAUGGAGCACUGGUUAAAUGAAAAAGCCUUUCGGACAUCCUUUGGAGCUGGAGUGGAGAUUCUUACUGCAUGGGAGCACUGUACUAGGUGCUGUAAAUUUAUAUUCAUGAAGCAAAACUCAAGGAAUUCGUAACAUUCAUAACUAUGGAUGAGGAAUACGUGACAAAGAGCCUAGUCAAAAGAUACAGAAGUGGAAAUGAACAUGAUGUAUGGAACAGUGAAUUGGUUUCUAUCAAUCGAUGCAUGUAAGACUGAAGGCCAAG
Molecule: long non-coding RNA, 717 nt
Filed under: Monodelphis domestica (gray short-tailed opossum)
Lineage: Eukaryota; Metazoa; Chordata; Mammalia; Didelphimorphia; Didelphidae
Description: lncRNA (ENSMODG00000038035.1)
Source: RNAcentral